GACGAACGCUGGCGGCGUGCUUAACACAUGCAAGUCGAACGCUGAAGCACCAGCUUGCUGGUGUGGAUGAGUGGCGAACGGGUGAGUAAUACGUGAGUAACCUGCCCUUGACUCUGGGAUAAGCCCGGGAAACUGGGUCUAAUACUGGAUGCUACAUGUCGCCGCAUGGUGGUGUGUGGAAAGGGUUUACUGGUCUUGGAUGGGCUCACGGCCUAUCAGCUUGUUGGUGAGGUAAUGGCUCACCAAGGCGACGACGGGUAGCCGGCCUGAGAGGGUGACCGGCCACACUGGGACUGAGACACGGCCCAGACUCCUACGGGAGGCAGCAGUGGGGAAUAUUGCACAAUGGGCGAAAGCCUGAUGCAGCGACGCCGCGUGAGGGAUGACGGCCUUCGGGUUGUAAACCUCUUUCAGCAGGGAAGAAGCCACAAGUGACGGUACCUGCAGAAGAAGCGCCGGCUAACUACGUG
RNAcentral lists this ribosomal RNA (470 nucleotides) under uncultured bacterium. Its description in RNAcentral is "partial 16S ribosomal RNA". It matches the Rfam family "Bacterial small subunit ribosomal RNA", at positions 28 to 507 of the family's 1533-position model. The record is from RNAcentral.